This 484-nucleotide ribosomal RNA is filed under the name uncultured bacterium. RNAcentral describes it as "partial 16S ribosomal RNA". It matches the Rfam family "Bacterial small subunit ribosomal RNA", at positions 30 to 507 of the family's 1533-position model. The record is from RNAcentral.
AUUGAACGCUGGCGGCAGGCCUAGCACAUGCAAGUCGAGCGGAUGAAGGGAGCUUGCUCCUGGAUUCAGCGGCGGACGGGUGAGUAAUGCCUAGGAAUCUGCCUGGUAGUGGGGGAUAACGUCCGGAAACGGGCGCUAAUACCGCAUACGUCCUGAGGGAGAAAGUGGGGGAUCUUCGGACCUCACGCUAUCAGAUGAGCCUAGGUCGGAUUAGCUAGUUGGUGGGGUAAAGGCCUACCAAGGCGACGAUCCGUAACUGGUCUGAGAGGAUGAUCAGUCACACUGGAGCUGAGACACGGUCCAGACUCCUACGGGAGGCAGCAGUGGGGAAUAUUGGACAAUGGGCGAAAGCCUGAUCCAGCCAUGCCGCGUGUGUGAAGAAGGUCUUCGGAUUGUAAAGCACUUUAAGUUGGGAGGAAGGGCAGUAAGUUAAUACCUUGCUGUUUUGACGUUACCAACAGAAUAAGCACCGGCUAACUUCGUG